RNAcentral lists this transfer RNA (67 nucleotides) under Cajanus cajan (pigeon pea). Its description in RNAcentral is "tRNA gene-KK1_027640". Lineage: Eukaryota; Viridiplantae; Streptophyta; Magnoliopsida; Fabales; Fabaceae. The record is from RNAcentral.
CACCGUUCCCGGGGAUCGAACCCGGGUCACUCGCGUGACAGGCGGGAAUACUCACCACUAUACCGUU